Molecule: ribosomal RNA, 253 nt
Filed under: uncultured bacterium
Lineage: Bacteria
Description: partial 16S ribosomal RNA
Rfam family: Bacterial small subunit ribosomal RNA
Source: RNAcentral
UACGAAGGGGGCUAGCGUUGCUCGGAAUCACUGGGCGUAAAGCGCACGUAGGCGGAUUGUUAAGUCAGGGGUGAAAUCCUGGAGCUCAACUCCAGAACUGCCUUUGAUACUGGCGAUCUUGAGUCCGGGAGAGGUGAGUGGAACUCCGAGUGUAGAGGUGAAAUUCGUAGAUAUUCGCAAGAACACCAGUGGCGAAGGCGGCUCACUGGCCCGGUACUGACGCUGAGGUGCGAAAGCGUGGGGAGCAAACAGG